RNAcentral lists this long non-coding RNA (2391 nucleotides) under Nicotiana benthamiana. RNAcentral's name for it is "long non-coding RNA (NBEN_LNC042529)". The record is from RNAcentral. Lineage: Eukaryota; Viridiplantae; Streptophyta; Magnoliopsida; Solanales; Solanaceae.
CACCUUUGAAUCCCUCUUCUCUCUCAACUCUCUCUGAAACUCUUACAAACCCUAGCCGUCGCCAUCAAACUACAACCUAAUCCACCCUAAACCCUGCUUAAUCCAUGGCCUCCUAUGGCCAUUGGAGAUGUGUAGUGGCCUUCUAUGUUUCCUGGGUAUUUGUUCCUGUGGUUUUAUGGCCAGACCUUGAGGGAAUCUGGUCCAGUCCUUGCUCGAUUUCAGUUUAUGGUCUUUCUCGGGUCAUCCCUGACCUUUCUCCGGCCAGCCAUGGCCGUUCGAAUCAGAUCCUUGAUUAUCCUGGUUAGAUCGGUAACUUUUAAGGACUUUCUCAACUUUUUGGAGUUUUUGACACCCUAAUCUUUAAGAUCUUUUAACUUUCUUUCAGAUCUGCUUCACAUCUGUACUUACUAUGACCUUUUUAAGUGUUUGUCGAAGGUUCUUUAACUUUGCUUUCAAAACGACUCUUCAUUUUUUUAUUAGGGUUUUCCUUUAAGUUAUUUCAAAAAUCCCUUCUCUGAUUUUAACGUGAUUAUGAUUUUGCUCAUGUUGUUCUUCUAUCUAAGUUAGCAUGUUGAAAACCCUAAUUUCUUUUGGGUCUCAUUCGAGUUCUGAAGUUGUUUGUUUGAUUUGUACUUGUUUGGUUAAGUUCUUGUUUGACUUAUUUGUUUAUCAUCUUUUAAACUCGAUUACUAUUGAAUACCCAGGUCUUCUUGGUCUAAAAUUGUUUGUUUGAGUAUGUACUUGAUUCGAUUAAAGUUCUUUGUUUCUGACUCUCUCUCUUUUAUGUGACUUAUCGAUUCCGAGUCUUACAAUCUUUUAAGCUCGACUUUUCUUGGAACCCAAAAUUUUCAAAAGAUUUCCUCACGUGUUACUGUGAGAUCUUUACUUGUUUGACUAUCUUCUUAACUUUGGCUAUAUGUGUGAACCCUGACUAUCUAUUAAAUCAUAUGCUUAUUUCUGCUACUAUUGCAUGUUGUUUCUUCUGCCAAUGUGCUUGGCCUUGCAUGACUGAUGUUUUUGUUCACUCUAUUUAUAUGUUGAAGUCCAGAAGCAUGUUUCUUCCUUGAUUGAUCUUGAUCUUGUGACUGAUUGCAAAACCUUUUCUUAUAUGAGCUGUGAUUUUACUCGCCUGUUUGAAAUUAAUUGAUUCCUUUCCCUUUUACUGUAAUAUUUACUUUGUUGAAUCCUUUCUAAAAAUAAGCAUAGUUUCGUAGUCAAACUUGAUUGUUCACUGCAUGCUUUUACUACCCUUUUUAUGGCAAUAAUCAAUCUAUUCCCAAACUGAUUUCUUUCCUUAUUUGAGCCUAUUACUACCCAUUAAACAUUUAUUCCUUAAUUAAAGGGGAAUCACUUAUGUAAUUGAUUUUGGCUGGUGGUUGUUUCUAUAUUUUUGUAAAAACUUUACUUAUUACCUUACUCCUCACAUGUUUUCAAAACUAUAAAUACCCACAUUCUCUUUUUUUAUUAAAGACACGAACGAACUACCUACGUUCAGAACACAUACUUCACAAACUCUCUCUAUUCUCUGUUGCUAUUUGUGUUUUGUCUAGCCGGCUGAAAGCCAAGGUUAAGCUGUGGAGAUUUCUUGCUUUUCUUUCUGCGUUUUGCUUAUUGCAUGUUUGUCCUAGUUAAUCUUCAAGCACCAAUAACAACAUGUUUCUUUAGCUGUUUCCUUCAUUCUUGCAUGUUCAUACUUAUGUUUAUGCAAUUAGGUUAUAUUACUAUGCAUGCUCUAAUCUGCUCCCCCCAUUCUAGAUUAAUGUUUUUCCUUAUGCAUGCACUCUAUAAGUUGCUUGUUAUAUGAUUUGCUGAAUUAUGAAUCCCAAACCCCUAUAUCCUCCUAUGUGGUUAUGUUCUCUAGUUGUUUUGUGGGCAUGUCAACAUCAUCUAUUGAUGUGUAUGUCCCAAACCUGACCCUCUUUUUGUGCAAUUACUGGUUUUGUGUAAUUUAAGUUUUACCAAUGUUGUUUUCAAAUCUCCCUUAUCCAUUACUAUUCUUAACCCAGUUUUAAAUAAUAUCUUUAUUUCUACAUUUCCACUAUAUUCCUAGAACCUAAGUUGUGCCCUUCUUUUGUGAGCCUUACCUUGGGACCCGUGAGCUCUCUCUGAACUUGAACACAUAAGGACUGGCCCCUUCUACACUGCACUUAUUCUCUAUCUAGCGAUGUAAACCUGGGUAUAAGCAUUGCUCUGGGCCCCUUGAGGCCCUUAGGGAACUUUGACACACCUAGGUGUGAGAAAGGCUUUGAAACAAGUGGCAUUUGAGGUGGUUUGUUCCAUAACUCAGAGAGGAAGUCAGAGUCAGGCUUUCUAUGGUUGUAACUUCUUAUUUUAUUCUUUUCUGAUGUAAUUCAGUAUUUGGUCUGUAAUAAUUUUUAAUGAAUAUUGGAG